RNAcentral lists this ribosomal RNA (163 nucleotides) under uncultured bacterium. RNAcentral's name for it is "partial 16S rRNA". It matches the Rfam family "Bacterial small subunit ribosomal RNA", at positions 355 to 511 of the family's 1533-position model. The record is from RNAcentral.
UAGGGAAUCUUCCACAAUGGACGCAAGUCUGAUGGAGCAACGCCGCGUGAGUGAAGAAGAUCUUCGGAUCGUAAACUCUGUUGUUAGAGAAGAACACGAGUGAGAGUAACUGUUCAUUCGAUGACGGUAUCUAACCAGCAAGUCACGGCUAACUACGUGCCAG